AACCAAUCACAGAGCACCUGCGGGCGCUCGCUCCCCUCGGGGGGCGAGGGCCCGCCGUUUACAGGAUCCGCCGGCGCGUGAGCUCCCCUCGGGGGGCGACCGCGCCGGGCCGGAGCCCUAACCCAUUGAACCCUCUGCCCUGAAGCAGCUUCGCACGGGGACACCCCUGCGAUAGUAACUGAGACAACUCUCAACAACGGAUAUCUUGGCUCUCGCAACGAUGAAGAACGCAGCGAAAUGCGAUACGUAGUGUGAAUUGCAGAAUUCCGUGAGUCAUCGAAUCUUUGAACGCACAUUGCCGGUCGACUCUUCGGAGGAGACCACAUCUGCCUCAGCGUCGGAAUACCCCCUCACGCACCCCCGCGUGGACCUGGCCCCCCCGGACGCCUCGGCGCCCGGGCCGGCUGAAAUACAGAGGCUCGCGCGCGGCCCAUUCGUGGCCCCGACUAGGUAGGUAGCUCGCUACUUCUAGGCGGUGGCUCGGUGUCGCGUGCUGUGGGCCCGAAAGGAUACCAAUCCAUUCAUUCGACCUGAGUUCAGG
RNAcentral lists this ribosomal RNA (541 nucleotides) under cf. Ulva sp. BW-2013 (clade C). RNAcentral describes it as "eukaryotic LSU rRNA". The stretch from base 186 to 340 matches the Rfam family "5.8S ribosomal RNA". The record is from RNAcentral. Lineage: Eukaryota; Viridiplantae; Chlorophyta; Ulvophyceae; Ulvales; Ulvaceae.